GCCUGGCUGGCUCAGUUAGUAGAGCAUGCGACUCUUAAUUUUGAGGUCAUGAGUUUGAGCCUCAUGUUGGGCA
This 73-nucleotide transfer RNA is filed under the name Felis catus (domestic cat). It matches the Rfam family "tRNA". Rfam says of the family: Transfer RNA (tRNA) molecules are approximately 80 nucleotides in length. Lineage: Eukaryota; Metazoa; Chordata; Mammalia; Carnivora; Felidae. RNAcentral also lists the same sequence under 4 other names. The record is from Rfam by way of RNAcentral.